RNAcentral lists this ribosomal RNA (499 nucleotides) under uncultured bacterium. RNAcentral describes it as "bacterial SSU rRNA". It matches the Rfam family "Bacterial small subunit ribosomal RNA", at positions 26 to 518 of the family's 1533-position model. The record is from RNAcentral.
AGGAUGAACGCUAGCGACAGGCCUAACACAUGCAAGUCGAGGGGCAGCACAAGGAGCAAUCUGAGGUGGCGACCGGCGCACGGGUGAGUAACACGUAUGCAACCUGCCUGUAAGCGGGGAAUAACCCGUUGAAAGACGGACUAAUACCGCAUAAUACUAAAUUACUGCAUGGUAAUUUAUUUAAACAUUUAUGGCUUACAGAUGGGCAUGCGCAUGAUUAGCUAGUUGGAGAGGUAACGGCUCCCCAAGGCAACGAUCAUUAGGGGUUCUGAGAGGAAGGUCCCCCACACUGGUACUGAGACACGGACCAGACUCCUACGGGAGGCAGCAGUGAGGAAUAUUGGUCAAUGGACGAGAGUCUGAACCAGCCAAGUCGCGUGCAGGAAGAAUGUUCCCUAUGGAUUGUAAACUGCUUUUGCAGGGGAAUAAAGUGCAUCACGUGUGAUGUUUUGUAUGUACUCUGCGAAUAAGGAUCGGCUAACUCCGUGCCAGCCGCGGC